This 432-nucleotide ribosomal RNA is filed under the name uncultured bacterium. Its description in RNAcentral is "bacterial SSU rRNA". It matches the Rfam family "Bacterial small subunit ribosomal RNA", at positions 29 to 507 of the family's 1533-position model. The record is from RNAcentral.
AGCGAACGCUGGCGGCAGGCCUAAUACAUGCAAGUCGAACGGUCUCUUCGGAGGCAGUGGCGGACGGGUGAGUAACGCGUGGGAACGUGCCCUUUGGUACGGAACAACUGAGGGAAACUUCAGCUAAUACCGUAUGUGCCCUUCGGGGGAAAGAUUUAUCGCCAUUGGAGCGGCCCGCGUUGGAUUAGCUAGUUGGUGGGGUAAUGGCCCACCAAGGCGACGAUCCAUAGCUGGUCUGAGAGGAUGAUCAGCCACACUGGGACUGAGACACGGCCCAGACUCCUACGGGAGGCAGCAGUAGGGAAUCUUGCGCAAUGGGCAAAGCCUGACGCAGCCAUGCCGCGUGAAUGAUGAAGGUCUUAGGAUUGUAAAAUUCUUUCACCGGGGACGAUAAUGACGGUACCCGGAGAAGAAGCCCCGGCUAACUUCGUG